CCGGGGGUGUUCACCUCUUCCCAUUCCGAACAGAGAAGUUAAGUCCCCCAUGGCCGAUGGUACUUGCAUCACGCUGGGAGAGUAGGUAGCUGCCAU
This 96-nucleotide ribosomal RNA is filed under the name Planctomyces bekefii. The record is from RNAcentral. Lineage: Bacteria; Pseudomonadati; Planctomycetota; Planctomycetia; Planctomycetales; Planctomycetaceae.